This 301-nucleotide signal recognition particle RNA is filed under the name Phascolarctos cinereus (koala). RNAcentral describes it as "Metazoan signal recognition particle RNA (ENSPCIG00000011699.2)". It matches the Rfam family "Metazoan signal recognition particle RNA". Rfam says of the family: The signal recognition particle (SRP) is a universally conserved ribonucleoprotein. The record is from RNAcentral. Lineage: Eukaryota; Metazoa; Chordata; Mammalia; Diprotodontia; Phascolarctidae.
GCCAGGCUUAGUGGCACAUGCCUCUAAUCUCAGCUUCCAGGAAGACUGAGGCUGAAGAAUUGCUUGAGCUUGGGCAUUCUGAGCUUCAGCAGGAUAAACCAAAUGGGUGUCCACACUAAAUCUGGCAUCGAUAAAGUGACCUCCUAGAAGAUGAGGAAGAACACCAGGUUGCCUGAGGAGAAGUGAACUUACUCAGGUCAGAAACAAAGCAGGUCAAGGCUUCCAUGCUGCUUAGUAGUAGGAUCAGGCCCAUGAGGAACCUUCAUUUAUAGCCUGGAUUAGAUGGGAAGGCCCAUUCUUA